GAUCAUGGUUCAGGAUGAACGCUGGCGGCGUGCAUAACACAUUCAAGUCGAACGAGGCAGCAAUGCCUAGUGGCGGACGGGUGAGUAACGCGUGAGCAACCUGCCCUUGCGUGGGGGGUACCAUCUGGAAACGGAUGUUAAUACCGCAUAAAGUACAAGCGACCGCAUGGUCGUAGUACCAAAGAUUUAUUGCGCAAGGAUGGGCUCGCGUCCCAUUAGAUAGUUGGUGAGGUGACGG
This 238-nucleotide ribosomal RNA is filed under the name uncultured bacterium. RNAcentral's name for it is "partial 16S ribosomal RNA". It matches the Rfam family "Bacterial small subunit ribosomal RNA", at positions 15 to 263 of the family's 1533-position model. The record is from RNAcentral.